Mustela putorius furo (domestic ferret) is the source of this 107-nucleotide small nuclear RNA. NCBI's taxonomy places the organism in Eukaryota, Metazoa, Chordata, Mammalia, Carnivora, Mustelidae. The record is from Ensembl.
GUACUUGCAUCAGCAGCAUAUAUACUAAAAUUGGAAUGAUACAGAGAAGAUUAGCAUGGCCCCUGUGCAAAGAUGACACGCAAAUUCGUGAAGCAUUCCAUAUUCUU